CCCUAUGGGGUGCAGCAGGCGCGAAACCUUUACACUGCACGCCAGUGCGAUAAGGGGACCCCGAGUGCGAGGGCAUACAGUCCUCGCUUUUCGUGACCGUAAGGUGGUCACAGAAUAAGAGCUGGGCAAGACCGGUGCCAGCCGCCGCGGUAAUACCGGCAGCUCGAGUGAUAGCCACUUUUAUUGGGCCUAAAGCGUCCGUAGCCGGCCGAACAGGUCCGUCGGGAAAUCCACUCGCUCAACGAGUGGACGUCCGGCGGAAACCAGUCGGCUUGGGGCCGGGAGACCAGAGAGGUACGUCCGGGGUAGGAGUGAAAUCCCGUAAUCCUGGACGGACCGCCGGUAGCGAAAGCGUCUCUGGAGAACGGACCCGACGGUGAGGGACGAAAGCUUGGGUCUCGAACCGGAUUAGAUACCCGGGUAGUCCAAGCCGUAAACGAUGCUCGCUAGGUGUGGCGUUGGCUACGAGCUAGCGCUGUGCCGUAGGGAAGCCGAGAAGCGAGCCGCCUGGGAAGUACGUCCGCAAGGAUGAAACUUAAAGGAAUUGGCGGGGGAGCACUACAACCGGAGGAGCCUGCGGUUUAAUUGGACUCAACGCCGGACAUCUCACCGGCACCGACAGUGUGCAGUGACAGUCAGUCUGAUGGGCUUACUUGAGCCACUGAGAAGAGGUGCAUGG
Molecule: ribosomal RNA, 679 nt
Filed under: uncultured haloarchaeon
Lineage: Archaea; Methanobacteriati; Methanobacteriota; Halobacteria; Halobacteriales; Halobacteriaceae
Description: bacterial SSU rRNA
Rfam family: Archaeal small subunit ribosomal RNA
Source: RNAcentral